GCACUGCUGAGGAGUCCCACAAUAGGACGAAACAGUCGUCCAGUGU
This is a non-coding RNA of Schistosoma curassoni, 46 nucleotides long. The record is from Rfam. Lineage: Eukaryota; Metazoa; Platyhelminthes; Trematoda; Strigeidida; Schistosomatidae.